This 157-nucleotide ribosomal RNA is filed under the name Boehmeria virgata var. scabrella. Its description in RNAcentral is "Boehmeria macrophylla var. scabrella 5.8S ribosomal RNA". The stretch from base 24 to 157 matches the Rfam family "5.8S ribosomal RNA", at positions 1 to 132 of the family's 154-position model. Rfam says of the family: 5.8S ribosomal RNA (5.8S rRNA) is a component of the large subunit of the eukaryotic ribosome. It is transcribed by RNA polymerase I as part of the 45S precursor that also contains 18S and 28S rRNA. Functionally, it is thought that 5.8S rRNA may be involved in ribosome translocation. Lineage: Eukaryota; Viridiplantae; Streptophyta; Magnoliopsida; Rosales; Urticaceae. The record is from RNAcentral.
CUAAUUUAAUAGAGCGUCGCAAUGACUCUCGGCAACGGAUAUCUCGGCUCUCGCAUCGAUGAAGAAYGUAGCGAAAUGCGAUACUUGGUGUGAAUUGCAGAAUCCCGUGAACCAUCGAGUCUUUGAACGCAAGUUGCGCCCGAAGCCUUUCGGCCGA